GGGGUUGUGGCUUAGUGGUUGAGUGCCUGCCUAGCACACAUGAAGCCCUGGGUUCAAUUCCCAGCACCA
Molecule: transfer RNA, 69 nt
Filed under: Ictidomys tridecemlineatus (thirteen-lined ground squirrel)
Lineage: Eukaryota; Metazoa; Chordata; Mammalia; Rodentia; Sciuridae
Description: Spermophilus tridecemlineatus (thirteen-lined ground squirrel) tRNA
Rfam family: tRNA
About the family: Transfer RNA (tRNA) molecules are approximately 80 nucleotides in length. Their secondary structure includes four short double-helical elements and three loops (D, anti-codon, and T loops). Further hydrogen bonds mediate the characteristic L-shaped molecular structure. tRNAs have two regions of fundamental functional importance: the anti-codon, which is responsible for specific mRNA codon recognition, and the 3' end, to which the tRNAs corresponding amino acid is attached (by aminoacyl-tRNA synthetases). tRNAs cope with the degeneracy of the genetic code in two manners: having more than one tRNA (with a specific anti-codon) for a particular amino acid; and 'wobble' base-pairing, i.e. permitting non-standard base-pairing at the 3rd anti-codon position.
Source: Rfam by way of RNAcentral